GAGAAACUUCUUUUUUUUUUUUGAUUUAAGAAGAGAAAAAAAGUCUUUAAACUGCUAAAUAAUCACCAGGCUCCAGGAGCUAGGGAUUUUGAGCAGGCACUGCAUGAAGCCAUGGGUGGAAGGUUUCACCACGCAGCCUCAGGUCCAGCCCACCCAGAAACUGCUUCUGAGGCACCAAGAGCACCUGGUGAUCCAGCACUGCCUUGGUGACGUGUCCCAGGAAGCCCCAAAACGUGAUCCAGCCCUUUCCAUGGGGGUCUCAGGGGGAAAUGCAAGGAGACACAUUCUUGACGAAGUGGGAAGCGCUGUGUUUAAUGGAGCCCUCCGAGAAGGUUAGAGCAGGAGCAUUUCUUGAACAAACAAGGCUGGCACUGCACCAUAAUCUUGAGGCUGAAAUGAAUCACGGGCUCCAGAUAGCGGUGGGGACUGUGACACGUGCAAUUUGCAUCAGACCUUCACUAAACAAUCGUCGGAGGGGCGAUGAAUAUAAAGGAGGCUUGGCUGUUAUCAGCUUUGAUCGCAGAAGCACUCACAGGAAAAAAUUAUUAAGCAUCUACAUGAGCAAAACUCUUUGUCUUCUUCAGUUGAAUUGCUACUUUCAUUUGUCUUUAAUAACAUGGUAUUUGCUCACUCUCAGACAGCCGUUUGCAAGGUUGUUCAAAUCCAAGGCUAAUUUGCUCAGGCGCUUGGCUCUCCCAGAGUGAUCACUGAAACUCCUGGUACACACAGUACUUUUCUUGAAUGUUAAAGCAUUUAAAGCUUUUUUUUUUUUUAAUAUUUUUUUUCCCUUAUCCGUGCCUUGAGUAAGUAUUUACACCUAGUCAGAGACAGCAUAUAAACAAGUUAAUGUUUCGACUGGGGAAUGUUUUACACCUCGUUACACAGGUGGAAAUGGGGCCUGCACAGAGCAGGGCCAGGCUGUUUCCAGUAGGUCAUUUUCUUGUUUUGGUCAGCCCUUAUUUUAGGCCAGCCCUGCCCCACAGAGGUAUGUGCAACCACGCCACUGGGUCCUGCCUAUUUCUGGGGGCUGCUGCUGAGUUUGCAUCACACCAAGCCUGGAGUUAUUUCCAACCCAGCUUUGGCCAUGGAGCAAAAGCAAAUGGCUCUCCAUGGACGGCCCCUUGUGGGGGCACCAGCUUGGAAAUCCCACCAGAGAAAAUUGUCACAGGUGGGUCAAGGGCCUGUCUUGCCCACAGUAGGGCCAAAACUCAUCUGAUUUUUGCAGUCUCUCUUUGCACCACAUUUGGGCACCAUCCCUUUGAACACUGGGGUCUGCAGCUGCUGAUCAGGCCUUGGGCUGGUAUUUUUGGCCAGAGGAUGCAAGCCUGCUUUGAGUGGUAAAUCUGUGGUGUGGGUUGUGGCCACUGAACAGCUGGUCUCCUUCUUCCUGCCUUUGGGAAUGACAAGAAAGCCUCGAGCCAGAAGGGAUCAUUGUAUUCUCUCCUGCAUGCUCCAGGACCCAGCAGACCCCAUCUGUCUGAGGUUCAGCACCCAGGAACUGGUGGCAUGACCAGGAAAUGCUCUGCCAGGAGAUGGACCAUGGUCCACUCCCCAGAGUGGUUUUAACCUUCACAGUUCAGGGGAAUACACGAAUGCUUUUCCCCGGCUGGUGUUUGACUGGCUGUGCACUCCAGCACCACUUCUUGCUAUGGCUUCUCUGACAGAUUAAAGACAUACUUAAUACCUGUUUUUGUUUUGGUUGUGUUCAAGACAAGGUA
This is a long non-coding RNA of Prinia subflava (tawny-flanked prinia), 1718 nucleotides long. RefSeq lists it as uncharacterized. The record is from RefSeq and is a predicted model, not a curated record. NCBI's taxonomy places the organism in Eukaryota, Metazoa, Chordata, Aves, Passeriformes, Cisticolidae. The transcript is spliced from 3 exons.